AGAGGGUGCGAGCGUUAAUCGGAAUCACUGGGCGUAAAGAGCACGUAGGUGGACUGUUAAGUUGGUUGUGAAAUCCCCGGGCUUAACCUGGGCAUGUCAAUCAAAACUGGCAAUCUAGAGUGAUGUAGAGGGUAAUGGAAUUUCCGGUGUAGCGGUGAAAUGCGUAGAGAUCGGAAGGAAGACCGGUGGCGAAGGCGAUUACCUGGACAUAAACUGACACUGAGGUGCGAAAGCGUGGGUAGCGAACAGGGAUUAGAUACCCUGGUAGUCCACGCCGUAAACGAUGAGUACUAGCUGUUUGGUGCACUAGUGCUAAGUGGCGUAGUUAACGCGCUAAGUACUCCGCCUGGGGAGUACGGCCGCAAGGUUA
RNAcentral lists this ribosomal RNA (370 nucleotides) under uncultured organism. Its description in RNAcentral is "partial 16S ribosomal RNA". It matches the Rfam family "Bacterial small subunit ribosomal RNA", at positions 527 to 896 of the family's 1533-position model. The record is from RNAcentral.